CCUACGGGUGGCAGCAGUGGGGAAUAUUGGGCAAUGGGCGCAAGCCUGACCCAGCAACGCCGCGUGACGGAAGAAGGCUUUCGGGUUGUAAACUUCUUUUCUCAGGGACGAAGCAAGUGACGGUACCUGAGGACUAAGCCACGGCUCACUACGUGCCAGCAGCCGCGGUAAUCCAUAGGUGGCACGCGUUAUCCGGAUUUACUGGGUGUAAAGGGCGUGUAGGCGGGGCAGCAAGUCAGAUGUGAAACCCACGGGCUCAACCUGUGGCCUGCAUUGGAGACUGUGUUUCUUGAGUAAUGGGGAGGCAGACGGAAUUCCUAGUGUAGCGGUGAAAUGCGUAGAUAUUAGGAGGAACACCAGUGGCGAAGGCGGUCUGCUGGACAGCAACUGACGCUGAGGCGCGAAAGCGUGGGGAGCAAACAGGAUUAGAUACCCGAGUAGUC
RNAcentral lists this ribosomal RNA (443 nucleotides) under uncultured bacterium. RNAcentral describes it as "partial 16S ribosomal RNA". It matches the Rfam family "Bacterial small subunit ribosomal RNA", at positions 338 to 795 of the family's 1533-position model. The record is from RNAcentral.